AUGAAAGAGCCUGAACCGUGCUUUGUACUUCAGACCUCCAAAACGGUAAACUAAGGGCGGGCUAGACAUUUGCUAUAGUAAGAACAUGCAUGUAUCCCCAGACCUACUUCUUUACCUAGGUCUGGUUUUCUAAAUGCUGGUGACAAGC
Small nucleolar RNA from Mesocricetus auratus (golden hamster), 148 nucleotides. Its record names the gene SNORA72. It matches the Rfam family "Small nucleolar RNA SNORA72". From Rfam's summary of the family: U72 is a member of the H/ACA class of snoRNAs. The snoRNA gene is located in intron 4 of the ribosomal L30 protein gene in human, mouse and chicken. NCBI's taxonomy places the organism in Eukaryota, Metazoa, Chordata, Mammalia, Rodentia, Cricetidae. The record is from Ensembl.